AGAGUUGUACAUAUACUGUGAGAUUUGAUGACUGCAGCUUCUGCACUACAUUCGUUUGUGCAAUGAUAAAUGCAUCCUCGCUGGGGAAGACAGAUUCCUUAGUUAUGAUAACAGAUUUUGCAAAGGUCUUGAUCUCCAAUAUGGUUGAGCUCUCAAUAUCACGGAUAUCAUCCCCAACCCCAUAAACAAGUUCAUAGCUACUUUUCUUAAAUUCUUCCAGAACAGAACUGUCAGUUGACUGGAUCAAAACUUUCUUAGCUGUCUGAUUAUUGUAACCAGAUUUGCUUAAGGCGUCCAAAACAGCACCAGUUACACCUAAUCCCUGCUUCGCCAGGUAUGCUGCAUUCUGCGUGGAGCCAAAAUAUUUCCAAAAUAAUGAACAAGGAGUUAAAACCUUCAUUGCACAAUGAUGUUCAUGAACAUUAAAUUUUUCUCUCAAAAUAAACCAAAAAAUGCGGCUACUUUACUACUUUUACUAUUAUUUCCACUUCACUGUGAUGUCACAGUUUUUCUUUUCUUUUAUAAUCCUUUGUAUAUUUAAUGGGUAAUAACCUUCAUUAAGUAAUGAAAAUAAAAUUAUUAUGAUUUCUGUUAGUCCUUUAAAGCAUAAUGCUACUAGAAAGGCAACCGCCAUGGUGUUUGAGCAAGCAAUCAAAAUUGCUUCAUUUCAGAAAAUUGGAGAUGCUUGGUAGCUGGAAUGAUAUAUGUUGGGAUCCUUUCUGUAUUCUGCAGAGGAUUAAACCUUCAAAAUACUAGUCACAAAGUGAAUCUGUUUCCCUUUGAAAACAUACCAUUUUCUAAAGCAUUUGUUUUUUAAUGACGGUGUGUCCAGGCCAGCUUGUGCGUACCUCGGCCAUUUCACCAGGUAUCUGCUACCUCCCACCAGCACAAAUACCGGGCAGAUAUGCCUGCCAAGGCUCGGGCAAAUGAGAAGAAAUCACCUAGUGUUUUUUGUCUUCACUGGAAUUUGAACUGGAGACUCAUGGUUCUCCACCCACGUCAUUGACCACUAGGCCACACCUUUGGAUGCAUCCAAAAUCUUUUAUGGGAAAGUUUGGCCUAUUUCCCCGCAUCCAAUCACAAAUGUGAUAGCAUAAGAAGCUACCGAAUUCUCACUCAGAAUGAGAAGUGACAAGUAGUGGAUAUAAGCAUUUAGGAUUCUACACUUAAUUGAUGCAUAACAAUGUUGGUAUAAAGGCUAUGUUGCUCGGACUCUCCGAAAAUGUCGUCGGAUGCGUGUCGAAUUCUCCAAAAGCAGUGUAUUUUUGGAGAAUUCGAUAUGGGUGCGGCAGUGUUUCGGAGAGUCAGUGCAACAUAAUAUAAAGGUCUAUGGAACUGUCACUGAAUAAACUCACCUCUAUGCUGAUCAUCACACCAGAAACAGAAGUUGUAUUUUUGGCAAAUGUCAAGAAGUCCGCUAACGACAUAAAGUUUCCGUCAUUUCUGGCCUUUGGAUUCCGAAACAAUCUAAACACUGACCAUCGGUUUGAUAUUGUCGCUGCAAGAAAUUAGAGCAUGUUUAAGUGCAGUGUUGAAGCAACAGUAUUUCGAACUUUCAACUGAAGUAAUGCAUAACCUUGCAAUGAAAAAUAAUUAGAAGAAAAAGAAAACAUCUGAGGAAAUGUCCAGACAAGAAAUGAAGAUCUCUAGCAAGUUGUAGAACAUAAAGUCCCAAAAAGUGCUUGCUGAAAAAAGGAUGACAUAAAACAUGUCAAAGUGGGAAAUAGGCUAUUACUAAGCCAAAGCAAAUAAAAAGCCAAAAGAGGAAUCCAGUUUUUCUAAUUCUUUCACACAUUUCAGAACAAUGCAGUAUUCAUUAGGAUAUACAGUAGAACUGCUUUUAUUAAUGAGGAAGGAGAACUGGGAUAAUGAAUGCUACAGUAUUGCUCCCCUCUUAAGAGUUUAUAUGUGCAGUUUAAAACAAAUUAACAAGCUACAAAAGGAAUAGCUAAAACUUAGAUCCCCAAAUCCCUGAAAGUGUUAUUUGUGCAAAAAAUUAAUGCAUAAAAGUAAAGAAAUUCUCCCUAUAUGAAUGAGAUAAGAAACACAAUACUGAAGACAAACCGCCUUAUUUUACAACAAUUUUUAACAGUCCAAGAUCCAAAUGAAAGAAGUGAUCGUGGCAAAAGAUACGACUUAUUGGAGGGCAAGCAGGGGAAAAUUUAUAGAGGCAUGCAAUCUUCCAUUUUUCUUUUAUAUAGAAAGUUAGAUACAGAUGGCGUCGCACAGACGCGGAGGCAUGAAAUAGUAGGAGUGAAACAUGAUAAGCCACACAAUUUAGCACUACAAACUAACAGUUGCUUCAACUUACGUCUCAGGCUUUGAAUCUCGGUCCAAGUAAGGUUGAUAGUGAGUAUUCCAUUUGUUAUCUUAAGCUCAGGGACAGUGGUAGUAAUGCUGCUGAAUGGCGAUUGGGCUGCAGUGGUCUUGUCUAUCAGAUUUAUCGAACCAAGACAGAAAGGUAUUCCAUCUUUAGUCAUUUGGAC
Molecule: long non-coding RNA, 2486 nt
Filed under: Nicotiana tabacum (common tobacco)
Lineage: Eukaryota; Viridiplantae; Streptophyta; Magnoliopsida; Solanales; Solanaceae
Description: long non-coding RNA (NTAB_LNC017632)
Source: RNAcentral